This is a long non-coding RNA of Phyllostomus discolor (pale spear-nosed bat), 431 nucleotides long. RefSeq lists it as uncharacterized. The transcript has 3 exons. NCBI's taxonomy places the organism in Eukaryota, Metazoa, Chordata, Mammalia, Chiroptera, Phyllostomidae. The record is from RefSeq and is a predicted model, not a curated record.
GGAUCUUCCAAAAUCAUCAGUACAACCAGUGGAUAAGAGAAAACUGAGAUAAUUGCUUGUCAAGCUUUGCUUGAUGAUAAGAAUCACCUGGUUUGAAGAUUUAAAGUGCCUGUGCUGGUCCUCUCCCAAGCUUCAAGAAGAUCUUCUCAAGCUUCUUAUUUUUUCCCUUGGAGUUUCUGGUUCCUGAAUAGAACUGGAUUUCCAGAGCAUCGUCCCUGUGCAAGGAGAGUGGGAACUACCUGUGACAACAGUGGGCCCAGCAUCUUGUGGGAGGACCACGUUUGCUUUUUUAGUCAAGAGGAAAGCAGAAGUGACAUUGUCCCCACACACAGUGUCCUGGAUGUAUUCAGUCUAUAUCACGGCAGUCCAGCCUCUUCUGUUUGUAAAGAAAAUUCUACCCCAAGUUCUUAAAAUAAAAGAAUUGAGCUCAA